UACAGAGGGGGCAAGCGUUAUUCGGAAUCACUGGGCGUAAAGGGUGCGUAGGCGGGUCUUUAAGUCAGGGGUGAAAUCCUGGAGCUCAACUCCAGAACUGCCUUUGAUACUGAAGAUCUUGAGUUCGGGAGAGGUGAGUGGAACUGCGAGUGUAGAGGUGAAAUUCGUAGAUAUUCGCAAGAACACCAGUGGCGAAGGCGGCUCACUGGCCCGAUACUGACGCUGAGGCACGAAAGCGUGGGGAGCAAACCGG
RNAcentral lists this ribosomal RNA (253 nucleotides) under uncultured bacterium. RNAcentral describes it as "partial 16S ribosomal RNA". It matches the Rfam family "Bacterial small subunit ribosomal RNA", at positions 524 to 776 of the family's 1533-position model. The record is from RNAcentral.